GAGGGUGGACUAAGCAGAGUCACAGUGGGC
This 30-nucleotide non-coding RNA is filed under the name Macaca fascicularis (crab-eating macaque). Lineage: Eukaryota; Metazoa; Chordata; Mammalia; Primates; Cercopithecidae. The record is from RNAcentral. RNAcentral also lists the same sequence under 1 other name.